AACGAACGCUGGCGGCAGGCCUAACACAUGCAAGUCGAGCGAGGACUUCGGUUCUAGCGGCGGACGGGUGAGUAACGCGUGGGAAUGUGCCCUUCUCUACGGAAUAGCCCUGGGAAACUGGGAGUAAUACCGUAUACGCCCUUUUGGGGAAAGAUUUAUCGGAGAAGGAUCAGCCCGCGUUGGAUUAGGUAGUUGGUGGGGUAAUGGCCUACCAAGCCGACGAUCCAUAGCUGGUUUGAGAGGAUGAUCAGCCACACUGGGACUGAGACACGGCCCAGACUCCUACGGGAGGCAGCAGUGGGGAAUCUUAGACAAUGGGGGCAACCCUGAUCUAACCAUGCCGCGUGAGUGAUGAAGGCCUUAGGGUUGUAAAGCUCUUUCAGCUGGGAAGAUAAUGACGGUACCAGCAGAAGAAGCCCCGGCUAACUCCGUG
RNAcentral lists this ribosomal RNA (433 nucleotides) under uncultured bacterium. RNAcentral's name for it is "partial 16S ribosomal RNA". It matches the Rfam family "Bacterial small subunit ribosomal RNA", at positions 29 to 507 of the family's 1533-position model. The record is from RNAcentral.